RNAcentral lists this ribosomal RNA (2376 nucleotides) under Neonaesa rugosa. RNAcentral's name for it is "bacterial SSU rRNA". It matches the Rfam family "Eukaryotic small subunit ribosomal RNA". The record is from RNAcentral. Lineage: Eukaryota; Metazoa; Arthropoda; Malacostraca; Isopoda; Sphaeromatidae.
AAAGAUUAAGCCAUGCAUGUGUCAGUACGAGCCUUCCUUAGAGUGAAACCGCAAACGGCUCAUUAAAACGGUCAUAAUUUACUUGAUGCAGUGGUUAAUCCUACACGGAUAACCGUGGCAAUUCUAGAGCUAAUACGUGCAUCUGAGCUCCGACGCCUUGCGCCGCUUCGGCGGCGUAAGGCGGAAGGGCGCAAUUAUUAGAACCAUGAACCGAGCCCCGUGAAUUCGGGAAUUUCCCAAAACUUGGUUGUGGUGACUCUGGAUAAUGCUUGCCGCGCGCUGAGGCCACCGAGCCGGCGCACUUUCAUUCGAGAGACCUACUUAUCAGCUGUCGACUGCAAGCUAUACGCUUACGGUGGCAGUAACGGGUAACGGGGAAUCAGGGUUCGAUUCCGGAGAGGGAGCCUGAUAAACGGCUACCACAUCUAAGGAAGGCAGCAGGCACGCAAAUUACCCACUCCCGGCUCGGGGAGGUAGUGACGACAAAUAACGAUGUGGGACUCUUCCGAGGCCUCGCAAUCGGAAUGAGUUUACCAUAAAUCCUUAUUCGAGGAUCCAUUGGAGGGCAAGUCUGGUGCCAGCAGCCGCGGUAAUUCCAGCUCCAAUAGCGUAUAUUAAAGUUGCUGCGGUUAAAAAGCUCGUAGUUGGACCUUGGGUCCGUACCGGCGGCCCUCCAAGGCGGGCUUCUCGGUUCGCGGAACACGCUGCUGAGCGGCGGCGUCGCCCGCGGGCGGAGGCUUUCGGACCGCGUCUCGCGCGCCCUCCUCGCCAACCAACACCCUUGAGCCUUCCACUCUACGACCAACGGUCGCUUCGGCGGCCUCGUCCUUCCCGCGCUCGUCGCGGGUCGGAGCCCACGCGGGGCGUUACGGGGGUCGGUGAAAGGCGUCGUUGUCGUUGGUUCCGGGAGGCGCCGUAGGCGCCCCGAUCGCCGUCCCGUCCGCGGCGGCCGUCGUAGCGUCUCCCCCGAGUUACGCUCGCCCGGUGGCUAACCGCCCGGAUACGGAUUACGUGUCUAAAGACCGAUGGCUCGCCCGAGGUGCUCUUUGCCGAGUGUCUCGCGCGGCCGUCGAAGUUCACUUUGAAAAAAUUAGAGUGCUCAAAGCAGGCUUACUAUUAACCGCCUGAAUAAUUAUGCAUAGAAUGAUGGAACAGGACCUCGGUUCCGCGAUUGUUACCGCUCGGUUUUCCACGAACCCGAGGUAAUGAUUAACGGGGACGGACGGGGGCAUUAGUAUUGCGGCGCGAGAGGUGAAAUUCUAUGACCGUCGCAAGACUAACUACUGCGAAAGCAUUUGCCAAGAACGCUUUCAUUAAUCAAGAACGAAAGUUAGAGGAUCGAAGGCGAUCAGAUACCGCCCUAGUUCUAACCAUAAACGAUGCUAACCAGCGAUCCGCUCGAGUCAUUCCCACGACUUUGCGGGAAGCCCCCGGGAAACCAAAGUUUUUGAGUUCCGGGGGUAGUAUGGUUGCAAAGCUGAAACUUAAAGGAAUUGACGGAAGGGCACCACCAGGAGUGGAGCCUGCGGCUUAAUUUGACUCAACACGGGAAACCUCACCAGGCCCGGACACCGGAAGGAUUGACAGAUUGAGAGCUCUUUCUCGAUUCGGUGGUUGGUGGUGCAUGGCCGUUCUUAGUUGGUGGAGCGAUCUGUCUGGUUAAUUCCGAUAACGAACGAGAUUCUGCCCUACUAAGUAGUCGGCGGAUCGUUUCCCGAGGCGGGUUAACCCCGUCCGCGUCGAGGGUCUUUCGAUAGCGUCGUCGCGGGGCUCGACGGGUCUCCGCGCCCGGCUCGGCCGCUCGCCCGCGCGCUCCGGCGCGCGCGGCGUAGUGGGUUGGGUCGGCGCGGCUGUUCUCGUUCCCGCGGUCUUCGCUCGUUAACCCUCUCGGCGCGUUAGGGGCCCGGCGAGGGGCGUCCGUCGCAUUUCUUCUUAGAGGGAUCGGCGGCUCCUAGCCGUAAGAGAGAGAGCAAUAACAGGUCUGUGAUGCCCUUAGAUGUCCUGGGCCGCACGCGCGCUACAAUGGCGGGCGCAGCGCGCUUUCCUCCUCCGAGAGGAGCGGGUAACCGUGUGAAACCCCUUCCCGAUUGGGAUUGGGGAUUGCGAGUGUUUCCCAUGAACGAGGAAUUCCCAGUAAGCGCGAGUCAUGAGCUCGCGAUGAUUAAGUCCCUGCCCUUUGUACACACCGCCCGUCGCUACUACCGAUUGAAUGAUUCAGUGAGGGCGUUGGACCGGCGCCCCAAGGCUUCGCCCUCCUUCCUCUCCUCUUCGAGGGAGGAUCGGGAGGGCCGCCCGGGCCGCGGCCGGGAAGACGUCCGAACUUGAUCAUUUAGAGGAAGUAAAAGUCGUAACAAGGUUAUCGUAGGUGAACCUGGG